GACGAACGCUGGCGGCGUGCUUAACACAUGCAAGUCGAACGGAAAGGCCCCUUUGGGGGUACUCGAGUGGCGAACGGGUGAGUAACACGUGAGUAACCUGCCCUUGACUUCGGGAUAACUUCAGGAAACUGGGGCUAAUACCGGAUAGGAAUCCUUGCUGCAUGGUGGGGGUUGGAAAGCUUCGGCGGUUUUGGAUGGACUCGCGGCUUAUCAGCUUGUUGGUGGGGUAGUGGCUUACCAAGGCUUUUACGGGUAGCCGGCCUGAGAGGGCGACCGGCCACAUUGGGACUGAGAUACGGCCCAGACUCCUACGGGAGGAAGAAGUGGGGAAUAUUGCACAAUGGGCGGAAGCCUGAUGCAGCAACGCCGCGUGCGGGAUGACGGCCUUCGGGUUGUAAACCGCUUUCAGCAGGGGCGAAGCUUGUGGUGACGGUACCUGCAGAAGAAGCACCGGCUAACUACGUG
Molecule: ribosomal RNA, 465 nt
Filed under: uncultured bacterium
Lineage: Bacteria
Description: partial 16S ribosomal RNA
Rfam family: Bacterial small subunit ribosomal RNA
Source: RNAcentral